This 253-nucleotide ribosomal RNA is filed under the name uncultured bacterium. RNAcentral describes it as "partial 16S ribosomal RNA". It matches the Rfam family "Bacterial small subunit ribosomal RNA", at positions 524 to 776 of the family's 1533-position model. The record is from RNAcentral.
GACGUAGGGCGCAAGCGUUGUCCGGAUUUAUUGGGCGUAAAGAGCUCGUAGGCGGCCUGUCGCGUCGACCGUGAAAACCCGCAGCUCAACUGCGGGCUUGCGGUCGAUACGGGCAGGCUGGAGUUCGGUAGGGGAGACUGGAAUUCCUGGUGUAGCGGUGAAAUGCGCAGAUAUCAGGAAGAACACCCGUGGCUAAGGCGGCUCUCUAGUACGGUACUGACGCUGAGACGCGAAAGCGUGGGGAGCGAACAGG